AUCCUCCCAUCCCCUUCUUGGUCUGCCCAGUGGUCGAUUUCUAGAAGAAUUCCCCAUCAAAAUUCUGUUAUCAACCCUCGCCUCCACUUUACCACAGUUAAUAUCGAAAUAAAUAAGGAGCCUGUUUAUCUCUCAGUAUGACAACCAUUUACCUGAAGACGGGGUGCAGGUGACUCACGAAACGUCGUGUGUAGCACAGAAAAUGGGCAAUACCUAAAUAUCCGCGAUGUAAGAAAACAGCUUUAAAAAAUUAGUAAUCACCUAAGUAGUACUGCGUUAUCAAUUGAUAUUCUAACGCCUGGUUUCCUAUUUAUUAAGUAAAAUAUUAGAACGCUCAACGCAUAUAUAUAUCACAUUUCCGGUAAUUAUAGACUUAAUUAACAGGGCAUAAAUUUCGCAACAGAACAGGGUCUAUACUUCCUGCAGCUCUAUCAAAAACACACUGGCCGGAAGUCUUAACGCUACCGACGCCAUCAAUUCAUUCCAAAUUGUGGUUAAUUAUAAUAACAGAUAGCCAGCUGAUGACCUUCAAAUAUUUUAAAGUCACACGUUUUAAGAUAAUCUCAGCUUCCUCUGUCUUAAAAUUUGUAACUUAACCAACUUCCUUGGUCAUAUAUAAUUACGACGCAGUUCUGAUACUUUGCUUGUUGAAGAAAAGAAGAAAUCCUGAGUAGUGCAUAACAUUUAUCCAAGUUUAGGCUACACAGAAUAGAAGUGAUUUAUUUCUCCAUCAAAUAUUUGUCGGCAAGUACAAAUUUUGUAUUUUUAUCACUGAGACAGAUAACACGUUUCACAAUAUUAAAUAACUUCUUUGGUGUGACGGAAACUAGAGGUAACAGGUCUACAUCAAACAACGCUCUUCUCGUGGUUAACACAACACUGAAAGAGAAACAUGACAAAAUCUGUGACGUUUCUCUUCCUGGUGUCCAUUCUGAUCUUCACAAUUGUAUUACGUCUGAAUCCCCCUGCUGAAGCUGUGCCCUUAAGCUUUCCUCACAGGAACAAUAAGCCAGACGAUUCAGUGACCUCUGCUGAGUCACAGAGCAACGCAAAAUGUCCCAGAGGCUAUCGCCUGAUUCAUGGCGGCUGCCGCAGAGUGUACGGGAGACGAUGACUGCUGAAUUUCCUUCUGGGUCAAAGAAUGUAUAUACAAGAGGUUCGGGAUGACGUGAUAUCAUGAUUUGUUCAUCAAGAUGUGCCGCCAUCUAGACACCACUUCGUGGACUUGAAGAGGACCAAAUCUCUUUUAUAAUUCAAUCUUUCAUCAUCCAUUUUUAUGCAUAUAUCUGCUUUUAUAUAAUCGUGAAAAAUUUCUGGAUUUAAUUUUAGUAUACAAACAUGUACUCACAGGUUGCAGGAAGACAUAAGAAUCAUAACAUUUAUACUAAGUAUUUAUGUUUUAAAUAUACCGAUAUGCAAGAUAAAUUCUUGUGUAAUAUUAUAUUAUGUCACGAAAUUAAAUAACUGGCAAGGACCUGUAAUGCAAAACACUUUAAACAUUAGUUUUUUACGUUAAAAUUCAAUACACUACCAACAUUUAACAGAUGGAGAUAGUAAAUUUAUACUGACACCGCGUUAUUAAAGUCAGAAAGAGAUCACAAACUGAUGGUAGGAAAACAGAUUUUAUUGGGUUUAAUAAAUUAUUAAAAAAAAAUCGUCACACACAUCAACAAAAACAUUAAACUUUCUGUUCUAUUUUGUUUUAUAUCUUAAUUCACUUGCAACAAAAACACGGAACAAGGAAAUCAAAAUAUUCUUCUUGCGGAACAUAAAUUACUUUAUAACUUACAGUUUCGUCCUUGACUCUAUUUUAUCAAAGUUUUUGUAAAAAAACGGAGCUAUAAAUUAAUUUCUUUCACAUAU
Zootermopsis nevadensis is the source of this 1863-nucleotide non-coding RNA. The record is from RefSeq and is a predicted model, not a curated record. Lineage: Eukaryota; Metazoa; Arthropoda; Insecta; Blattodea; Termopsidae.